GAGGCUUCGGGAGCAGGAUGAGAGGCUGUGGCAGCAGGAGACUCUGUGGGAGCUGGAGAGGCUGCGGGAGCUGGAGAGGAUGCUGGAGCUGGGAUGGGAAGCCCUCUACGAGCAGCAGGCCGAGCCAUGCAGUGGCUUUGAGGAGUUGAACAACGAGAACAAGAGCACACUGCAGUUAGAGCAGCAAGUAAAGGAGCUGAAGAAGCCAGGUGAGCUGAAAGAGACGGUAACCUCCGACCCAUCCAAGAAGAUCUGGGAGGCAGGCACCAGCCUCUGGGGAGGGGAGGUGCCAGGCCAGAGGCAGCUGCAGCCUGGGGGCAGAUGACCACAGCACCCUCCAGGGCAGUCCCAUGACUGUUUCUUGCUUCCUGCCCUCUGACUUUUAGAGGUGGGUAGCCCUGGGCUCCUCCCAGGUCUGGACAUCAUCAUCCCAGCUAGAGGCAUGGAGCCCC
This 452-nucleotide small RNA is filed under the name Pongo abelii (Sumatran orangutan). RNAcentral describes it as "retained intron". Lineage: Eukaryota; Metazoa; Chordata; Mammalia; Primates; Hominidae. The record is from RNAcentral.